This 404-nucleotide ribosomal RNA is filed under the name uncultured soil bacterium. Its description in RNAcentral is "bacterial SSU rRNA". It matches the Rfam family "Bacterial small subunit ribosomal RNA", at positions 26 to 429 of the family's 1533-position model. The record is from RNAcentral.
AGAUUGAACGCUGGCGGCAGGCCUAACACAUGCAAGUCGAGCGGUAGAGAGGUGCUUGCAUCUCUUGAGAGCGGCGGACGGGUGAGUAAUGCCUAGGAAUCUGCCUAGUGGUGGGGGAUAACGUUCGGAAACGGACGCUAAUACCGCAUACGUCCUACGGGAGAAAGCGGGGGACCUUCGGGCCUCGCGCCAUUAGAUGAGCCUAGGUCGGAUUAGCUAGUUGGUGAGGUAAUGGCUCACCAAGGCGACGAUCCGUAACUGGUCUGAGAGGAUGAUCAGUCACACUGGAACUGAGACACGGUCAGACUCCUACGGAGGCAGCAGUGGGGAAUAGUAGACAAGUGGGACGAAAGCCUGAUCCGAGCCAUGCCGCGUGUGUAGAAGAAGUAUCUACGGUAUAGAAG